CCCCGCACACGCCCGCCCCGCCAGCCACCCAGUAGCCGCCGCCACCGCCGCCGCCGCCGCCCCCUCGCGUCGCUCCUCUCUCCUUGGGGCUGGCGGCCAGUCCUCCCUUUGCCGUGGGCACGAACAGGCCUUCCAUCAAUCCCGCGAUACGGAAACCGAUGCGAGACUCGUCCAUUUCACCGGCGGGAGUGUUCGGUGCGGUGCUUGUGUUGCGCGCUAAGGACAGGACCGGGUAGUGGUGGUGGUGGUGCGUGCUUGCGUGCGUAUCUGUAAGUGUGUGAGUGACAAACAGUUCGUAACUCCGCCACGUGCAUCCAGUGACUUCUGAUGAAGAGGCUAACACAUGAAGGACACUCGACGAAGCGCAACUCGGCAUGAUGACGGGAACACACGUCCACCGGCUUAACAUUCCCGCUUCUAAGGACGCCAGUGAUUCCUGAUUAACCGACAAAGCGCACACGGACCAGAUAACACGAACCCGCUCACUCACACACACGCACGACUGGAGAAGUGGCGGUGGUGGUGGUGGUGGUGGCGAAGUUAGUGUGUGUACGUGUGUGCUUUAUGCUCGUCGAUCCACGUCAGUGAGUGAGUGAUUCAAUGAAACUUGUGUCGGUGAAGGAAAGCAGAGGUGACGGACACAGAAAGACUCUCUCUCUCUCUCUGCGUCAUUGAAGUACUGCACCCAGAACUCCUCCCUACUCCUAUCCUCUCCCCUCCCCAUCCUCCCCCUCCAUCUCCCUCUCCUUCUCUUCGUCCUCUUCCUCCUCUCUCAAUACCAUGGACGCCCGAAACUGUGAGGCGAGCUUAGGCGCCGCGAGAGAGCCAGCCGUUCCCGACAGCUCCUGAGGGGGAAGAUAAAGUGAGAGAGAGAGAGAGAGAGAGAGAGAGAGAGAGAGAGAGAGAGAGAGAGAGAGAGAGAGAGAGAGAGAGAGAGACUGAGCACCGAGCGGAUGUCUGAAGAGGAGUCAGCACGGGAGGAGGCGUUGUCCUGGUUGGCCCUGC
This is a long non-coding RNA of Portunus trituberculatus (swimming crab), 1005 nucleotides long. RefSeq lists it as uncharacterized. The record is from RefSeq and is a predicted model, not a curated record. The transcript is spliced from 3 exons. NCBI's taxonomy places the organism in Eukaryota, Metazoa, Arthropoda, Malacostraca, Decapoda, Portunidae.